RNAcentral lists this ribosomal RNA (253 nucleotides) under uncultured bacterium. RNAcentral describes it as "partial 16S ribosomal RNA". It matches the Rfam family "Bacterial small subunit ribosomal RNA", at positions 524 to 776 of the family's 1533-position model. The record is from RNAcentral.
UACGAAGGGGGCUAGCGUUGUUCGGAAUUACUGGGCGUAAAGCGUGCGCAGGCGGUUUUGUAAGCCAGAUGUGAAAUCCCCGGGCUUAACCUGGGAAUGGCGUUUGGGACUGGGUCGCUAGAGUGUGGCAGAGGGAGGUGGAAUUCCACGUGUAGCAGUGAAAUGCGUAGAGAUGUGGAGGAACACCGAUGGCGAAGGCAGCCUCCUGGGCCAGCACUGACGCUCAUGCACGAAAGCGUGGGGAGCAAACGGG